CUCGUAGUUCCCAGGUGGGAUGCUUCCGCGUCAGCUGAGGCGCCCAGGAGGUUUCCCCCCCAAACGCCGAGCAUCCAUCGUUUACGGCGUGGACUACCCGGGUAUCUAAUCCGGUUCGCUCCCCACGCUGUCGCACUUGAGUGUCAGAUACUGCCCAGGUAGGUCCCUUCGGCCUUGGUGUUCCUGCUGAUCUCUACGCAUUUCACCACUACACCAGCAAUUCCCCUACCCUCUGCAGUCCUCGAGCCGUGCAGUCUAUACUGGCCUCCCCGUGUUAAGCACGGGGCUUUCACAGCAUACUUGCACAGCCACCUGCAUGCGCUUUACACCCAGUAAGUCCGGACAACGCUUGCCCCCUCUGUAUUACCGCGGCUGCUGGCACAGAGUGAGCCGGGGCUUAUUCCGGGGGUACCGUCAUUAUCGUCCCCCCAAAAAGCAGUUUACAACCCGAAAGCCGUCAUCCUGCACGCGGCGUUGCUCGUUCAGGCUUGCGCCCAUUG
This 500-nucleotide ribosomal RNA is filed under the name uncultured bacterium. Its description in RNAcentral is "partial 16S rRNA". The record is from RNAcentral.